Molecule: unclassified non-coding RNA, 385 nt
Filed under: uncultured Phycisphaeraceae bacterium
Lineage: Bacteria; Pseudomonadati; Planctomycetota; Phycisphaerae; Phycisphaerales; Phycisphaeraceae
Description: contains 16S-23S intergenic spacer region
Source: RNAcentral
UCCGGUUUGACACCGGCAGUCUCGCUAGAGUCCUCGCCAUGACGCGUUAGCAACUAGCGACAAGGGUUGCGCUCGUUAAGGGACUUAACCCGACACUUCACAGCACGAGCUGACGACAGCCAUGCAGCACCUGUGCACGUUCCACCCUUGCGGGCGUCAUCCCUGUUUCCAGGGACUAAUCCGUGCAUGUCAAACCCGGGUAAGGUUCUUCGCGUUGCUUCGAAUUAAGCAACAUGCUCCACCGCUUGUGUGAGCCCCCGUCAAUUUCUUUGAGUUUUAGCCUUGCGACCGUACUCCCCAGGCGGCGCACUUAUCAAUUUCUCUACGACCAUUACCGGGUCAGACCGGCAACGGUCUAGUGCGCAUCGUUUAGGGCGUGGACUAC